Molecule: unclassified non-coding RNA, 305 nt
Organism: Rhinopithecus bieti (black snub-nosed monkey)
Lineage: Eukaryota; Metazoa; Chordata; Mammalia; Primates; Cercopithecidae
Gene: 7SK
Rfam family: 7SK RNA
About the family: 7SK was discovered as an abundant small nuclear RNA in the mid-70s but a possible function has only recently been suggested. Two independent studies have found that 7SK RNA binds the CDK9/cyclin T complex (known as elongation factor P-TEFb).
Source: Ensembl
GGAAGUGAGGGCGAUCCGGCUGUGACAUCUGUCACUCCAUCAGUCACCAAGGUUGGUUAGCUCAUCUGGCUGGUGUCCCCUUCCUCCCUCACCGCUCCAUGUGCGUCCCUCCUGAAGCUGUGCGCUUGGCUGAAGAGAACUACCACCUCCAAUAGAGGAGGAGCGGUCUUCGGUCCAGGGUAUGAGUAGCUGCACCCCCUGCUAGAACCUCCAAACAAGCUCUCAAAAACACCUAUUUUCUGAAGUCCCUCAUCACCCACUUCUUUUAUUUUAUUAAGUAUAUUAAACAUGCAAUAUCAUGUAUU